UACGUAGGGUGCAAGCGUUGUCCGGAAUUAUUGGGCGUAAAGAGCUCGUAGGCGGUUUGUCGCGUCGAAUGUGAAAACCCGGGGCUCAACCCCGGGCCUGCAUUCGAUACGGGCAGACUAGAGUUCGGUAGGGGAGUCUGGAAUUCCUGGUGUAGCGGUGAAAUGCGCAGAUAUCUGGAGGAAUACCGGUGGCGAAGGCGGCAUCCUGGACCGGCAUUGACGCUGAGGAGCGAAAGCCAGGGGAGCAAACGGG
Molecule: ribosomal RNA, 253 nt
Filed under: uncultured bacterium
Lineage: Bacteria
Description: partial 16S ribosomal RNA
Rfam family: Bacterial small subunit ribosomal RNA
Source: RNAcentral